AGCGGCCGGCAGGGCCGAGGCAGUCGAUCAUCGUAUGCUGCCCGCGCCUUUCCCCGGCUGCA
Molecule: regulatory RNA element, 62 nt
Organism: Pseudomonas taeanensis MS-3
Lineage: Bacteria; Pseudomonadati; Pseudomonadota; Gammaproteobacteria; Pseudomonadales; Pseudomonadaceae
Rfam family: gabT RNA
Source: Rfam